UACGUAGGGGGCAAGCGUUGUCCGGAAUUAUUGGGCGUAAAGCGCGCGCAGGCGGUCUUCUAAGUCUGAUGUGAAAGCCCACGGCUUAACCGUGGAGGGUCAUUGGAAACUGGAGGACUUGAGUACAGAAGAGGAGAGUGGAAUUCUACGUGGAGCGGUGAAAUGCGUAGAUAUGUGGAGGAACACCAGUGGCGAAGGCGACUCUCUGGUCUGUAACUGACGCUGAGGUGCGAAAGCGUGGGGAGCAAACA
Molecule: ribosomal RNA, 251 nt
Filed under: uncultured bacterium
Lineage: Bacteria
Description: partial 16S ribosomal RNA
Rfam family: Bacterial small subunit ribosomal RNA
Source: RNAcentral